Molecule: ribosomal RNA, 484 nt
Filed under: uncultured bacterium
Lineage: Bacteria
Description: partial 16S ribosomal RNA
Rfam family: Bacterial small subunit ribosomal RNA
Source: RNAcentral
AUUGAACGCUGGCGGCAGGCCUAACACAUGCAAGUCGAGCGUAUGAAGGUAUCUUGCUCCUGGCUUCAGCGGCUGACGGGUGAGUAAUGCCUAGGAAUCUGCCUGGUAGUGGGGGAUAACGUUCGGAAACGGGCUCUAAUACCGCAUACGUUCUGAGGGAGCAAGUGGGGGAUCUUCGGACCUCACUCUAUCAGAUCAGCCUAGGUAGGAUUAGCUAGUUGGUGGGGUAAAGGCCUACCAAGGCGACGAUCCGCAACUGGUCUGAGAGGAUGAUAAGUCACACAAGAACUGAGACAAGAUCAAGACUCCUACGGGAGGCAGCAGUGGAGAAUAUUGGACAAUGGGCGAGAGCCUGAUCCAGCCAAGCCGCGUGUGUGAAGAAGGUCUUCGGAUUGUAAAGCACUUUAAGUUGGGAGGAAGGGCAGUAAGUUAAUACCUUGCUGGUUUGAAGAUACCAACAGAAUAAGCACCGGCUAACUUCGUG